RNAcentral lists this ribosomal RNA (273 nucleotides) under uncultured bacterium. Its description in RNAcentral is "partial 16S ribosomal RNA". It matches the Rfam family "Bacterial small subunit ribosomal RNA", at positions 524 to 796 of the family's 1533-position model. The record is from RNAcentral.
CACGUAGGGGACGAGCGUUGUCCGGAUUCAUUGGGCGUAAAGCGCGCGUAGGCGGUCCGGAAAGUCGGAUGUGAAAACCCGGGGCUCAACCCCGGGCCUGCACCCGAUACUUCCGGGCUGGAGGCAGGUAGGGGAGAUCGGAAUUCCUGGUGUAGCGGUGAAAUGCGCAGAUAUCAGGAGGAACACCGGUGGCGAAGGCGGAUCUCUGGGCCUUGCCUGACGCUGAGGCGCGAAAGCUAGGGGAGCGAACAGGAUUAGAAACCCCCGUAGUCC